RNAcentral lists this ribosomal RNA (1372 nucleotides) under uncultured bacterium. RNAcentral describes it as "bacterial SSU rRNA". It matches the Rfam family "Bacterial small subunit ribosomal RNA", at positions 28 to 1381 of the family's 1533-position model. The record is from RNAcentral.
GAUGAACGCUGGCGGCGUGCCUAAUACAUGCAAGUCGAGCGAACGGACGAGAAGCUUGCUUCUCUGAUGUUAGCGGCGGACGGGUGAGUAACACGUGGAUAACCUACCUAUAAGACUGGGAUAACUUCGGGAAACCGGAGCUAAUACCGGAUAAUAUUUUGAACCGCAUGGUUCAAAAGUGAAAGACGGUCUUGCUGUCACUUAUAGAUGGAUCCGCGCUGCAUUAGCUAGUUGGUAAGGUAACGGCUUACCAAGGCAACGAUGCAUAGCCGACCUGAGAGGGUGAUCGGCCACACUGGAACUGAGACACGGUCCAGACUCCUACGGGAGGCAGCAGUAGGGAAUCUUCCGCAAUGGGCGAAAGCCUGACGGAGCAACGCCGCGUGAGUGAUGAAGGUCUUCGGAUCGUAAAACUCUGUUAUUAGGGAAGAACAUAUGUGUAAGUAACUGUGCACAUCUUGACGGUACCUAAUCAGAAAGCCACGGCUAACUACGUGCCAGCAGCCGCGGUAAUACGUAGGUGGCAAGCGUUAUCCGGAAUUAUUGGGUGUAAAGCGCGCGUAGGCGGUUUUUUAAGUCUGAUGUGAAAGCCCACGGCUCAACCGUGGAGGGUCAUUGGAAACUGGAAAACUUGAGUGCAGAAGAGGAAAGUGGAAUUCCAUGUGUAGCGGUGAAAUGCGCAGAGAUAUGGAGGAACACCAGUGGCGAAGGCGACUUUCUGGUCUGUAACUGACGCUGAUGUGCGAAAGCGUGGGGAUCAAACAGGAUUAGAUACCCUGGUAGUCCACGCCGUAAACGAUGAGUGCUAAGUGUUAGGGGGUUUCCGCCCCUUAGUGCUGCAGCUAACGCAUUAAGCACUCCGCCUGGGGAGUACGACCGCAAGGUUGAAACUCAAAGGAAUUGACGGGGACCCGCACAAGCGGUGGAGCAUGUGGUUUAAUUCGAAGCAACGCGAAGAACCUUACCAAAUCUUGACAUCCUUUGACAACUCUAGAGAUAGAGCUUUCCCCUUCGGGGGACAAAGUGACAGGUGGUGCAUGGUUGUCGUCAGCUCGUGUCGUGAGAUGUUGGGUUAAGUCCCGCAACGAGCGCAACCCUUAAGCUUAGUUGCCAUCAUUAAGUUGGGCACUCUAAGUUGACUGCCGGUGACAAACCGGAGGAAGGUGGGGAUGACGUCAAAUCAUCAUGCCCCUUAUGAUUUGGGCUACACACGUGCUACAAUGGACAAUACAAAGGGCAGCGAAACCGUGAGGUCAAGCAAAUCCCAUAAAGUUGUUCUCAGUUCGGAUUGUAGUCUGCAACUCGACUACAUGAAGCUGGAAUCGCUAGUAAUCGUAGAUCAGCAUGCUACGGUGAAUACGUUCCCGGGUCU